Long non-coding RNA from Camelina sativa (false flax), 5217 nucleotides. RefSeq lists it as uncharacterized. Lineage: Eukaryota; Viridiplantae; Streptophyta; Magnoliopsida; Brassicales; Brassicaceae. The record is from RefSeq and is a predicted model, not a curated record.
UGUCUAAUCACAGGUUAAUCCCAAAAGGAUUCUGGAGUCAACCGUGUCCUUAAUGUCAUUCAGGUACUUUUAAUUUUCUAUUGUUUCCCUCUGUUUUGGUUGAGUAUUUGGUGUGUUUGUUCUCAUAUCUUGCAGGUAAUACAAAAGGCUGGUUCUUCACCUGAAAAAGUUGUUUUUUCUGUAAUUAACAUCUCUUUAUUUUAAAGUCUCUUAGGUUUGCUAAGUCGGAUCUCCUCUGAGGCACAAGGCUGCACGUGUUGUGUAUUCAGGUAGUCCUCCUCUUUCCCAUUUGUAUCUUUCUCUUGCCUUCUUAAAUUUAAAUUGACGAUGGUGCUGCUAAGGUUUUUUUUUUUUUUCUUCUUUUUUUUGGUCUAAUCACAGGCUAAUCCCAAAAGGAUUUUGGAGUCAAACGUGUCCAUAAUGUUAUUGAGGUAGUUUUAAUAUUCUAUUUUUUCCCUCUGUUUUGGUUGAGUAAUUGGUGUGUUUGUUCUCAUAUCUUGCAGAUAAUACAAAAGGCUGGUUCUUCAUGCGAAAGUUAUUCAGGUAUUCCAUCUUUUUGUCCCUCCAACUUAUGGCCGGUGCAAGUCUCUUAGGUCUGCUCAGUCGGAUCUCUUCUGAGGCACAAGGCUGCACAUGUGGUGUAUUCAGGCUACUUCGAAUAAGGUGAUCACAAGUAAAGAAUUGGAGAAGAAAUCAAAUUCAUCUUAGGUCUGCUAAGUCGGAUCUCUUCUGAGGCACAAGGCUGCACAUGUGGUGUAUUCAGGUAGUCCUCCUCUUUCCCAUUUGUAUCUUUCUCAUGUCUUCUUAUAUCUAAAUUGAUGAUGGUGCUGCUAAGUUCCUUUGUUUUUUUUUCUGUCUAAACACAGGCUAAUCCCAAAGGGAUUCUGAAGUCAAACGUGUCCUUUAUGUCAUUCAGGUAUCUUUAUUUUAUAUUUUUACCCUCUGUUUUGGUUGUGUAAUUGGUGUGUUUGUUCUUAUAUCUUGCAGGUAAUACAAAAGACUGGCUCGUCAUGUGAAAGUUAUUCAGGUAUUCCUUUCUUUUGUCCCUCCAAAUUAUGGUGCAAGUAGUUUGUUAAUGAAGUUUGUUCAAGUAGUUUUUUUGAAAAUUUCUUAGGUCUCCUGAGAUGGAGCUCCUCUGAGGAAGGCUGUACAUGUGGUUUAUUCAUGUGAAAGAUGUUCAGUAUUCGUUCCUUUUUCCAUCUUAUAGGUCUGGUUAGAUAUGUUUUCUAUUAUUCUAUUAAGCUAGAUAUAUCUUCUCUGUUUGUUGCAGUGCGUCGAGGCUGGAUCCUCUCGGCUAUCAUCUUUUUAGGCUUCUGAGGAUCUCAUCUCGUGCUCCAUAUUCUUUCUUACUUUCCCUAACUGGUUCUUUCCCGUUUAUCUCUGUUGGUUGUAAUUCUCAUCUUUUGGGUUUCUCUGCCUUGUGGUGGUUGUGCUUCCUAACAUGUUUGUUAUUAUACUUUGUCCUUCUAAGUAGUUUAUAUAUUCAAAAUAUUUUUAGGUCUCUUAGGUCUGUUAAGUCUGAGAUGAGAUCCUCUGAUCCAGAAGGCUAGACACGUGGUUUAUUCAGGUUUUCUUUCCUCUAUCCCGUUGGGAUGUGUCAGUCAUCUAUUUGUUUUUAUAAACUGUUUGAAUUUUGGGUUCCUCAGUUUUGGACCGUGCCACUAGGGAUUCUUCAACAAUAUUUGAACUUGUUAAUGGAUCAGUAAAGCUGUUGAUCUUUUACUAACUGGUAAUUUCUUCCCCUUUAUCUCUGUUGGUGUUUUCUUUCAUGCUACAUCUAUUUUUACUGUUCGAUCCUACUCUCACAUGCUUGUUGUUUGAUCCUACUCUCACAUGCUUGUUGUUUGAUCCUACUCUUACAUGCUUGUUGUUUGAUCCUACUCUCACAUGCUUGUGACGGUGGUUUUAUGUGAAGUGCUACCCUUUAUUAUAGGUAUAUAUUGAGGAUGCAUAGGAGGGUAGUUCUAUUCUGUCUCUGUUUAAGAUGUCUUUGAUCUCGUGGUUUCCUGUUACCUCUUUGGCUGUUUCUUAUCUUUGUUUGUUUUAUGUUUAGGGUGUUAAUUUCCCUAUUUACCUGAUGUUUGUCUUUUCUAAUUUUUUGAGAAAUUUUGAUUGAGAUUGUAUAGAACAGGCAUGCAUUUUUGGAGGGAAGGAUCGUUUGUGUAUAAUUUCGUCUUUGUGGUUACUAUCGUAUAUAUAUAUUGACUAUUGUUGGCGUGUAUAAUUUUUCCACUGUGUCUGUGUUUCCCAGAUUUUCUUCACCAAUUACUUAACUCUCAGUUUCCGUUUCUCUGCUGAGUACACAUACUCGGAUAAAAGAUGAUCAUAAAUUUCUCCUAAACAGGUUUUAACCUAGUCUUCCUUGUAACCUCCUUUGUAGUUUCUUCCCUUUUCCUGGGAGAUUUGCUUAGUUUUUUCUCCCCCUUCUCUUUUUGCUUUUCCUGAUUGUAUGAAUUCAUUUAUCUUUUUGGAUGAUGGAAGAAGAAGAGGUUCUGUUUCGACCUGCUUUCUUAGGUUUCCAUGUAUCUGUGCAUCGGAGUUUUUGUUAAUCAAGUCUACAUUGGAGCUUCCAUGAUUGGUUGAUUCAGGUUCCAUGAGCUACUUUUUUUCCUGUGGUUUGAUUAUUGGAUUUCUAUCAUUCUAUGCCGUGUGGUUGACUUUUUCUAUUUUGUGAAUAAUUCCUCACUGGUUGCCUUGGAUUGAUCUCAAUUGGUAUACGUUUCCUUUUUAGUAUUAUAUCUGCUAUCUAUGUUUUAUUGUGUUUUCCAGAAUUUUUUUUAUCAAUCACUUUACUCCAAUCCUUGCAGUUUAGUUAGUCUACUCGUAGUCAGAUGAAAGAUGAUCAUAAAUCCCUUUUUAAUGGUUUUGUAAUUAUAUACUUCUUUAAUUCUUUUCAUGAUGAUUAUGUCUACCAAAGUGGUAUUUGUAUUGAAUAUCUUCAAGUCUUUUAGGACUCUUCAAGGCUGAACUCCUCCUAUGCAGAAAGCUGCCUGGUUGCCUGGAUUUCCCACAAUCUGUUGAUUCAUCCUGUUCUGGGUUUUGAAGUGUGUUUCACUUAUUGAGCUUUGGACGGAGAAAGUGGAGAGUUUCACAAGAUUGGUUCUUGUCAUUGGUUGUUUCCCGUCAACAAUAAUGUUUCUCAUCUUCUUAGAUAUGCACGCAUUUCUGCUUAGGCCUGACCUUUUACUAAGCCUUUAUCAUAGUUAUUUCAGGCUACUACUUUGUCUCUUCUUAUUUAUCCAUUUUUCUGUGCUACAUCUAUUCCUAGUUGUUUUCUUUCUAAUCCUUAUUAUAUAUGCUUGUGAUUGUAGAUUCUCUUUAUAUGAAUUACUUCAUUUAUAUAGAUUCUUAUGGUGUUUUUUGUCUUUUCUGUUUUUGUUAUGUGAUCAAUUCUCCUUGCCCUUAUUUGUUUAUGCCUUUCUGAUUUUGUAGUCUGCAUAUCAUUUCUGCUGGAGAUGAAGUCAGUAGUUUUAGGAGUUUGGAUGUUACAAAGUGGAAGUUCUAAUUCGGCCUGCUUUCCUACACUCCCCUGUAUCUGUACAUCAUGAGUUUGUAAGGUUGCUUUUUCUGUGUUUGUUAUUUCUAGUGUAGAUUGCCGAGGAAGCAAAAACUGAAAGUUUCAAGCUUUUGCGUGGUUGUCUCAAUAGGGAUGAAUUUGAAGCUUUCAUCUCUGGUGGAUUCAGUGUUAUGAGCUACUUAUCUUAUGGGGUUUGAUUUUUAGGUUUCUUUGGCUUGUGAUUGUUGUGUCUUUGUUGAUUUUUGAAUUACUUCAGACUGUUAUAGUUUAUCAACGAAAAGUGAGCUUCCACCUCCAGAGGGUUGCCUCACGUCUCAAUUGACCGUUUCCCAUACUCCCUUCCUUCUUUAUGAUUUUACGAGACUAUGUUUUUUUCUUUCUUAGAUCUGAUGCUUUGUUGCAUUGUCUUAUUCUGCUCACUGAGGGUAAAUAUAUAUGUGCUAUAGAUUCCGAAUUAUGGGCUGGUCCAUAUCUCCAGCCAGACAAGGUAAAGUUGAAUGUUCUUUUGAGUUUUGUAUAAAACGUUUUUGUUUUUGUCACCUUUCUAUUUAAUGGUCUUGGGGGUUUAGUUGGCUAGAGUGGUUAAAGCUCUGUAGAUGACACUUCUCUGAAGGUGGGUUACCUUACUUUUUCAACUAAUUUUGAAGACUGUUUUCUGUACCUUUGAUGAUGAUUCUCAGUUUUGCAGCAAUGUUUGGUUAAUGACUGAUAUUUUUGAAGAUUCUCAGUUCUUUUUGUUGUACGCUACGUGGAUUUCAAGGUUUAACUGCUAUAGUCUAUCACGAUGAGAUCUGUAGUCUUUUUUUUUUGUUGGUUCUUCCACACUAGUUGGUAGCAACGGUCGUGGUGUAUGUGUGUUAGCGUUGUUGAUGGUAAGCGCGGCAUCAGAUUUCUUGCCAUUAAGAGAAUUUGGUUGGAAUGAAUGUUGUGAUUCUGGAGAAUGUAGGGUGUGCUAGUACAUGUACAUAUAUUAAGGGGUUUUCUGUAGACAUUUUGUUAUGAAUUACAGGCGAGGCAGAGGCUUAAUGUUAUGGAUUCUUCUUACGAAUGUUCCCAGGUCAUGGCUUGCUUUAAAUUACUGAAGGUCGUUUUCUAUGCGAGAAUGGCGGCAGAGGGACCUAUUGGUGUGGCACAAAUGAAGUUUUUACUCUAAUUUAUUUUGGUUACAUAACUUUUUGAGUGGCCAAAUAAUAUUCUAAUGGCUGCCCAACAAAAAUAAAUAUUGCUGCAAAACAAUAUAUUCAAACUUCUGAUACUUGACAUUUAAAAUACAUUGUUUCCACCACAAACGUUAGUCGAAUUCUUUGGGUACGUAUGCAAGUCCUUAUGCAUCAAUCGUUAUGUUCUCAACCACGUACGAAAUUAAACAUCAUGAAAAUCAUGUUCGCUGUGGGAUGAAACAGAGUAUGCAAUAGAACACGAAUCAAGAGUUGAGAGACAAGAGUUUUAACGACUUCAAGUCUCGCACCUACGUCUCAGCUUCGACGGCACAAGCAAUCCACUAGAAAUUCUUAAAGAGUUGCAUCACUCGCAUAAGAAACUAUAUAUAGAGACCAAUCCAAGAUUUGAACUUAUCUUUAAUCUCUAUCUUACAACUUAGUAACCCAGAUGCUAACUUGUCUUAAUAACAAACUCUUCGUAUCACUCUUACGGAUACGGUAAGCUGGUUACACGAAUUCAGCCAACCAAAUUAAACUCAA